CCUUUCCCCUGAUUUGAAUCUCACUUCUCUGGGAUGGCAGCACAUACCUUGCCCUGGUGCUUUGACUUAUACCCUAGACAGAGUUGUUUUGUGCUCACUGACUCCUCUUUCGUGUCCCUGUGCAACCUCUUAGAGCUCAUCCUGUCCAACAGUGCUCCGAUUUUAGUUAUAGACUUGCAGCUGGGGAGAUGCCUUAAGGGGUAUUGCUUAUUUGUUUGCGCCAUUAGGAUAUUGCUGAGUCAGACAGUCAUAGUUCCCUCUCAUUUGCUCUGGGACUAGGGUUUCCAGAGGGUUGGGCACAGUUUUCUAUUGGCUUUUUUUUCUCUUUUCCUUAGCCUCUUCGGUGAUCUUUGGUCUGAAGGGCUAUGUGGCUGAGCGGAAGGGUGAGAGGGAGGAGAUGCAGGAUGCCCACGUCAUCCUCAACGACAUCACCGAGGAGUGUAGGCCCCCAUCGUCCCUCAUUACUCGGGUUUCAUAUUUUGCUGUUUUUGAUGGACAUGGAGGAAUUCGAGCCUCAAAAUUUGCCGCACAGAAUUUGCAUCAGAACUUAAUCAGAAAAUUUCCUAAAGGAGAUGUAAUCAGUGUAGAGAAAACCGUGAAGAGAUGCCUUUUGGACACUUUCAAGCAUACUGAUGAAGAGUUCCUUAAACAAGCUUCCAGCCAGAAGCCUGCUUGGAAAGAUGGGUCC
This 688-nucleotide small RNA is filed under the name Pongo abelii (Sumatran orangutan). RNAcentral's name for it is "retained intron". Lineage: Eukaryota; Metazoa; Chordata; Mammalia; Primates; Hominidae. The record is from RNAcentral.